AUAGCUAAAGCUAUAUGUAUUUAUUAAAAAUACAUAUACGAUUUAUUCGUAUAAAAUUCUAGGUAGAAUAAUGAUAAUGACAUUGUCUAUCUAUAAGUCUUGACCAACAUGCGUGCCAGCAGUCGCGGCAAGACGCUAAAGACUAGUGUUAUUCAUCUUUAAUAGGUUUAAAGCGUACCUAGACGGUAAAUAAAGCCUUAACCGGGACUAAUUUAACUAGAGUUAGAUGUAAGGGUGCAUUAACGUACUGUUGAGUGUAGAGAUGAAAUUCUUUGAUACCAGAUGAUUGGCACGGGUUUAGGCGAAAGCAUCACCUUAUGUAAUAACUGACGUUGAGGGACGAAGGCUUUGUGUCGCGAACAGGAUUAGGUACCCCAGUAGUCUAAGCAGAAAAUGAUGAGUGUCAUAGGUUAAAUAUUGUUUAAUCUAUAAAUGAAAGUGUAAGCAUUCCACCUCAAGAGUAAUUUGGCAACAUUGGAAUUGAAAUCAUUAGACCGUUUCUGAAACCAGUAGUGAAGUAUGUUGUUUAAUUAGAUGAUACACAAAGAACCUUACCACAAUUUGAAUAUUUCACAAGCGUUGCACGGCUGUCUUCAGUUAAUGUCGUGAGAUUAUGGUUAGUUCCAUUAAAUUAACGUAAACCCUUACUUUAUUUUACAAUAUAUAUUUAUAUAUGCUUAUAUAUAUUUAUAUAUUAUUAUAUAAAGUUGUUCACCACUAUAUUGGUUAGAUAAUAGGGAGUAAGACAAGUCAUCAUGGCCUUAAUAUUGUGG
RNAcentral lists this ribosomal RNA (773 nucleotides) under Collema glaucophthalmum. RNAcentral describes it as "SSU rRNA". It matches the Rfam family "Bacterial small subunit ribosomal RNA", at positions 379 to 1212 of the family's 1533-position model. Lineage: Eukaryota; Fungi; Ascomycota; Lecanoromycetes; Peltigerales; Collemataceae. The record is from RNAcentral.